GCUCUUGUCAAAUCACAGGCAAUAAGGUUUUAACUAUUAAUAAGCAAGAUGGGCUCUAUAAGUUGAAAGUGGAUGAGCAAACUCGACCUGACCCCCAAUUAGGCAACUCUAUGUCCCUGCAUAGGCAAGGAUCCAUGAGUGCCAAUGCUGCUGACGCUGUGCCUUACUCUAUUAUGCAUAAGCGUCUUGGUCAUUUGAACCAGCAAGGUAUGUCGGUAUUAGGUGGAGGGAAUAAGUGUAGUGUCGUAUUUCAGGCUGAAGACGGCAUUCCUGCACAGUGCAUCGCCUGCCUUACCGGGAAGAUGUGUGAAACAUCGUUUCCGCGGUCAAGUGCGGGGCGUGCUGCUAACCUUCUGGACCUGGUGCAUAGUGACAUCGCCGGACCGGUUCAUGUACCCAGCUGGGGCGGAGCUCGGUAUUUGCUAACAUUCACCGACGACAAGUCAAGACGCACCUUUGGCUAUCUACUGAAGAACAAGUCUGAGAGGAGGCGGCAAGCACACCAGUGCAAUCACCCCUGUCUGAGCUGUAUCGCACAACUGAAGACGCCACUGAGGAUAGCGGCGAGGCUGUGGUGCUGUCUAGCCCUGUCACCUCACCACUGCAACCCUCUGCAUCUUCAGAUUAUGAGCCAAUGUUGGCGGAAGUGGAAGAGUCUGCUGUUCCAACCAACUCUAGGCCAGUGCGGAGUACGCGAGGUAUAUUUCCUGAAAGGUAUAAUGAUUUCCAUAUUGAUUCUCUGAUGGCUACAGCAAG
Cydia splendana is the source of this 756-nucleotide long non-coding RNA. RefSeq lists it as uncharacterized. NCBI's taxonomy places the organism in Eukaryota, Metazoa, Arthropoda, Insecta, Lepidoptera, Tortricidae. The record is from RefSeq and is a predicted model, not a curated record. The transcript is spliced from 2 exons.